AGAGUUUGAUCCUGGCUCAGGACGAACGCUGGCGGCGUGCUUAACACAUGCAAGUCGAACGGAAAGGCCCUUCGGGGUACUCGAGUGGCGAACGGGUGAGUAACACGUGGGUGAUCUGCCCUGCACUCUGGGAUAAGCCUGGGAAACUGGGUCUAAUACCGGAUAGGACCGCAUGCUUCAUGGUGUGUGGUGCAAAGCUUUUGCGGUGUGGGAUGAGCCCGCGGCCUAUCAGCUUGUUGGUGGGGUAAUGGCCUACCAAGGCGACGACGGGUAGCCGGCCUGAGAGGGUGACCGGCCACACUGGGACUGAGAUACGGCCCAGACUCCUACGGGAGGCAGCAGUGGGGAAUAUUGCACAAUGGGCGCAAGCCUGAUGCAGCGACGCCGCGUGAGGGAUGACGGCCUUCGGGUUGUAAACCUCUUUCAGCACAGACGAAGCGCGAGUGACGGUAUGUGCAGAAGAAGGACCGGCCAACUACGUGCCAGCAGCCGCGGUAAUACGUAGGGUCCGAGCGUUGUCCGGAAUUACUGGGCGUAAAGAGCUCGUAGGUGGUUUGUCGCGUUGUUCGUGAAAACUCACAGCUUAACUGUGGGCGUGCGGGCGAUACGGGCAGACUAGAGUACUGCAGGGGAGACUGGAAUUCCUGGUGUAGCGGUGGAAUGCGCAGAUAUCAGGAGGAACACCGGUGGCGAAGGCGGGUCUCUGGGCAGUAACUGACGCUGAGGAGCGAAAGCGUGGGUAGCGAACAGGAUUAGAUACCCCGGUAGUCCAA
This 773-nucleotide ribosomal RNA is filed under the name uncultured bacterium. Its description in RNAcentral is "bacterial SSU rRNA". It matches the Rfam family "Bacterial small subunit ribosomal RNA", at positions 8 to 798 of the family's 1533-position model. The record is from RNAcentral.